RNAcentral lists this signal recognition particle RNA (262 nucleotides) under Clostridium sp. Its description in RNAcentral is "signal recognition particle sRNA large type". It matches the Rfam family "Bacterial large signal recognition particle RNA". From Rfam's summary of the family: The signal recognition particle (SRP) is a universally conserved ribonucleoprotein involved in the co-translational targeting of proteins to membranes. RNAcentral also lists the same sequence under 2 other names. The record is from RNAcentral. Lineage: Bacteria; Bacillati; Bacillota; Clostridia; Eubacteriales; Clostridiaceae.
CCACGCAGCCGGGGAGAUAGCGGUGCCCUGUAUCUGCAAUCCGCUCCAGCAGAGGUGAUGCCUUGCCCCGGACCGACCAUUGCAAAGCUGCCUUGUGUAAGUGGCGUUGACGUUUGGGUCUUACGCAACGGAAACCUGUGAACCGUGUCAGGGCAGGAAUGCAGCAGCACUAAGCAGGACCUUUCGUGUGCCGUAAGGCAGCCUGGACUGAGUUAACUGCAUGAGUAACGUUUGUGAUGCCGGUACAAAGCAAGGCGCGUGG